This is an RNA transcript of Nasonia vitripennis (jewel wasp), 2208 nucleotides long. It is a transcript of the gene named odorant receptor 283, with no coding region annotated. NCBI's taxonomy places the organism in Eukaryota, Metazoa, Arthropoda, Insecta, Hymenoptera, Pteromalidae. The transcript is spliced from 11 exons. The record is from RefSeq and is marked reviewed.
AACAGAAAAGUUCUUGAUUAAUAAGAAAUAAGAUCGCUGCGUUAGUAUACGAAGCAGCAGCUCAUUCGCAAUCCGGCUUCCAAUAACGCAACAUGCAGAUCAAGGUGGUUGAAAAUUUGACAUUGACAAAGCAUGAUAUCAAAUACUUCUUUAAAGAAAAUCUAAAAUUAUUAUCAAAAAUAGGUUUCAAAUGUAGUUUAACGAAAAAAAGUGAGAAAUUCAAGUUUCAUCACAAAAUACCAACAUACAUAGCAAAUUUCUGUGGGCUCAUUGUCUUUGCACUACAAAUAUAUUUUGUAAUCGAUAAAAUCCAGACAAAUACUGUAUUGGCUAUGCAGAGUCUCAGUUAUGCAGUUAUUAAUGUUCAGUCUAUUCUAAAGGGAUUUAUGACGGCAAAUUCCAUUGAAAAUAUACAACAAAUUUUCGAGAAUUUAGGAAUAUUUUGGCAAAAGUACAUGUCAAGAAAGCCCGGUAGGGAGCUGAUUUUGGAUAGAGCCUACAAAACUAUAUCACUCUGUAAAUUUUUCUUUGUCAUGGCUAUUGUUUGCUACUUCUUAUUCGUCAUGCAAUUUUUAAUAAAAUUUUCCAUCCAAUACCUUAACCGAGAGGCAACGAAUCAUACAUAUGACUUCUCUAAUACAGUCGACCUUAUUAAAUAUCCCUUCGAGAUACCUAACCUGCCUGUCUACUUUCUACUGAUUUCGGUAGAAAUUAAUUAUUUAUUCGUAUGUAUUGUAUUCUGGUGUAAUACUGAUAGUCUUUUUGUCACACUCACAUCUCACGUCUAUGUGCAAUUCAAGGCAUUAAAACUUGAUACGACCUUAGCUUUCAAUAAUAGUAUGUUGAAAGAACGCUCUAUUUUAAUAGAUAUGGUGAAUAGACAUAGAGAGCUUUUAAGAAUGUGCUAUUUAAUUGAAGACACAUAUAGCCCGAUCAUUUUUUCAACCACAUUGUUAUCAGCCUUGAACAUGUGUGUUACCGUUUAUGCUGUUAGAGAAUAUAUUGACAAAGGAUAUUAUCUAGAAAUGGGAAUACCUUUGUUUCUAUUUAUUGGUGCAAGUUUGCAGAUCCUAUUUUAUUGCAUCUUUGCCGAAUCACUGACCGAUGAGACGAGGUCAGUAGCUGAUUCUGUGUACAACUUAAAAUGGACGACAAAAGAUAAUAAAAUAAAAUUUUACAUACAGAUGAUAAUCAUGAGAUGUCAAAAGCCAUUUUAUUGUACAGCGUAUGGAUUUUUUCCAAUUGGCCAUCAGCAACUCACAUCGAUUAUUAGUGCAGCUUUUUCUUAUUACAUGAUGUUGCAAACAAUGAGUAAUUGAAGAAAAUACUUACGAUUGAUUGAACAAAAAAUAAUGAAAGUCAACCAGGCCCCUACAUUGUUAUUUAUCAUGACUUGAAUUUCACUGUUUCAGCCUAAGGAAAUUAACAAUUAUUUCAAUUGCUUUUGAUAUUGCAGCAGUCUCUCUAUAUUUAUUAACUACCUAGCAGGUACAUAAAACUAACAGGGCUACUCCACUUCUGUCACAAACAGAACGUUAUCAGCAAAAAUACUAUGCAUGAUCAUUUGACAAGACAAUAUUUUGCUGUGUAUGCGUCGUCUGCACUAGUCAGAUAGAAAGACUGGACUGCCACAACAUGCCCAAUCUAUGGAAAUGAGAGAAAUGUAUAGAUACUAACAUUCAUAAUUAACAAAGAGGUAUGCAAAAGUAUCAUCCUUUGGUGAGUAUAGUUUGUAUAGCAGACAAGUUCUCGGUUAAUAAGCAAUAAGAUCGCUGCGUUACUAUAAUGCAGAAACUCAUUCGCAGUUUGGAUUUCAAGAGCGCAACAUGCAGAUCAACGGUGGGUAAUUAUAUAGUAUCAGCAAAGAGUGGAUAGCUGCCAAUGUGUUCACAUUUUCAUUGGAAAAACGGUUUUAGAAAUUGUUAGUAAAUUUUUUGUUUGUUUCAGCAGUGAAAAAAUUGAGAUCGACAAAGCACGAUAUCGCAUACUUCUUCAAGGAAAAUCUAAUAUUAUUAUCAUUUGUAGAUUUGAAAUGUAGCAUUACGAAGAAAGGUGAAAAAUUCAAGUUCCAUCGUAAAAUACCAACGUACAUAGGAAAUAUCGAUGGGAUGAUUUUCAUUACAAGUAUAUUUAGUAGUAGAUGUUAUCAGGACUAAUGCUAUACUAGAUUUGCAAGUUUUUAGUCAUACAAUUGCUAACCUUCAAUAU